RNAcentral lists this ribosomal RNA (464 nucleotides) under uncultured bacterium. RNAcentral describes it as "bacterial SSU rRNA". It matches the Rfam family "Bacterial small subunit ribosomal RNA", at positions 31 to 526 of the family's 1533-position model. The record is from RNAcentral.
AAGGAACGCUGGCAGCGUGCAUAACACAUGCAAGUCGAACGCGGAAGGAUUCUUCGGAAUCUGGAAGAGUGGCGAACGGGUGAGGAACACGUAAGAAUCUGCCCCUCGGACGGGGAUAACUCUUGGAAACGAGAGCUAAUACCCGAUAUGCUGUGGAGUGAAAGGAUUCCGCCGAGGGAUGAUCUUGCGUCUGAUUAGCUUGUUGGUAUGGUAAUGGCAUACCAAGGCGACGAUCAGUAGCUGGUCUGAGAGGAUGGACAGCCACAUUGGAACUGAGACACGGUCCAAACUUCUACGGGAGGCAGCAGUGGGGAAUUUUCCGCAAUGGACGCAAGUCUGACGGAGCGACGCUGCGUGAAGGAUGACGGCCUGAGGGUUGUAAACUUCUUUUCUCGAAGAAGAAGCUCUGACGGUAUUCGAGGAAUAAGCAUCGGCUAACUCCGUGCCAGCCGCCGCAGUAACAC